UAGGGAAUCUUCGGCAAUGGACGAAAGUCUGACCGAGCAACGCCGCGUGAGUGAAGAAGGUUUUCGGAUCGUAAAACUCUGUUGGUAGAGAAGAACAAGGGUGAGAGUAACUGUUCACCCCUUGACGGUAUCUAACCAGAAAGCCACGGCUAACUACGUACCAG
Molecule: ribosomal RNA, 164 nt
Filed under: uncultured bacterium
Lineage: Bacteria
Description: partial 16S rRNA
Rfam family: Bacterial small subunit ribosomal RNA
Source: RNAcentral